AGAAAUAGGGGGGAGGAAAAAAAGUUAAAUAAUUGCUUGCAAGUCACAAAUGUGGCUGCAAAGUUCAUAUUAAGCCCUCCCAGGUGACCAGCAAAUGAAGAGCAAAAGAAAGAGGCACAGCCAGGUAAAUGACAACAUUACCAUACACUUACAUGAUACGUGGUUUUAAUGGCUUUGGGUUGAAGGGAAUUUAAAGAAUAAUUCUCCUUUAGAAAAGGUGGCUACUACGUAGUAGUGGAUCUGACACCUCAUAACUGUACUCUGCUUGGCAGAGAGUGAAGCACUGCUCCACCGAACAAGAGCCACUUAAAGGGAGGAAUCAGCACAACUCAAUGGAUUUCAGAUUGAUCCUCAUUUCAAAGAUACCCCAAAACAUAAGUCUGAGCUGCUAGCAUCCAUUUGACAGAUGAUGAGACAUUGGCUGUCUUAGACAAGAGAAAACAACGUUGGAAUGAAAUCCCUUUUCCUGUUUUCUGUGAUGCUUGAAGAGACAACAGCCCUGGAAUGUAUUUUCAGAGCAUGAGAUGACCCAGAGUUCCACAUCUAGGUGUCGUAGCAGGACUUCUUUGAUGAACCACAACAGAGAGCUUUGCAAAGAUCCUAAAGAUUGAGCAUGUGCCCGUUAGUACCCUACCUGGCAGAGGUCAGUGAUCUGCCUCUUUCCAUAGCUCUGUCCUUAGUAAAUGAUUAAACUUUGUGCUUCAUGGUAAGUGCUGGUGGAAUUUAUAUGGGUUCAAGUGCCCGAGUUUGACUUCUCUUCUUCUCCCUUUUGGAAAAAGGGCUUAAGAUAGGCUUAUAAAACCUGAUGGAAGGCAGCUGUGACAAAUUCUUGGCUGCAGCUAAGGGGAAGAAAGAGGGGAGGCAUAAAGGGCAAAAAGGGUUCUCUUGAUCACUCAGACUGUGGAGACCAGACAAAAUGACUGCAUGGCCCAUAUGGACUAGGUCUAUGGAAACGUUGGGUCGUUCUGAAGAGCAGGAUCUGUUUGUUAAUAUCCUUAAGAGGCCAAGGACUGCUGGGUCUGAGUUUCAGCAGCUGAAGUUGGGGAGCUCCACAACACAUUAAGCAAUUGUGGCUGUCAACAGCCUGGACUUUUCAGACCUCCUGCCUCGCGUAGCCAAAGGGACUCACAGGAGUCACGCAUCUCCCGAGAGGGCCUGGCACUAGAGGGCGAUGCAGACAUGCACUUCUGCCAGCGUUUCCCCUGUUAGGAAACACGGAGGAUUCUAGGAUUCUGACGUUAAUCAAGUUUUUGUAAUAAGGGUGUGCUACUUCUCUACCACCCCCAUUACCUUUCAUACAUUCUCCUAUGAUAGUUCUCUGUGUUUCUGACUUCCUUUACCACCAGCUUCUGCCCUUCAGAGUUGGUGCUCUAGACCUUUGCAUGUAAACUGAAACCAACAUCCAACUCAUGGACAAACACAAUCUCAUUAUUAGUUUUCCUCUUUUUCUCUUCUUCUUUUUUUUUUUUUUUGCUUCUGCCUCUGUCCCUUCUCUGAUCUGAUUCAUUUCCCAGCCUUCUGUCUGUCCAUUCUGCCCCUUCCUCAAGGAAUCUCACCCAUCCUGUAUCCUGUCUGUGGCCUGUAAUAAAAAAAUAUGGAUAGAAAAAUGAGAGGAUGUU
This is a long non-coding RNA of Coturnix japonica (Japanese quail), 1619 nucleotides long. The record is from Ensembl. NCBI's taxonomy places the organism in Eukaryota, Metazoa, Chordata, Aves, Galliformes, Phasianidae.